UAGGGAAUAUUGGACAAUGGACGCAAGUCUGAUCCAGCCAUCCCGCGUGCAGGAUUAAGGCCCUCUGGGUUGUAAACUGCUUUUAUUAGAGAAGAAAACCUCAGAUUUAUCUGAACUUGACGGUAUCUAAUGAAUAAGCACCGGCUAACUCCGUGCCAGCAGCCGCGGUAAUACGGAGGGUGCAAGCGUUAUCCGGAUUUACUGGGUUUAAAGGGUGCGCAGGCGGUAAUUUAAGUCAGUGGUGAAAGCC
Molecule: ribosomal RNA, 250 nt
Filed under: uncultured bacterium
Lineage: Bacteria
Description: partial 16S ribosomal RNA
Rfam family: Bacterial small subunit ribosomal RNA
Source: RNAcentral